UUGGGGAUAGCCCUUGGAAGCAUGGGGUAAUACCGAAUACGCCUGAUUAUUCGCAAGAGUGAUUAGGGAAAGGCGCUUACGCGCCGUCCUGAGGUGAGCCUGCGGUCCAUUACUUAGUUGGAGGGGUAAGAGCCUACCAAGGCGACGAUGGAUAGCCGGCCUGAGAGGGUGAACGGCCACGCUGGGACUGAGACACGGCCCAGACUCCUACGGCAGGCAGCAGCUAAAAAUCUUCCGCAAUGGGCGAAAGCCUGACGGAGCGAUGCCGCGUGAGCGAAGACGGCCGGAAGGUUGUAAAGCUCUUUUCUCGGCGGAGAAUAAUCAGGGGAGGAAAUGCUCCUGUGAUGACGUGAACCGAGGAAUAAGCCCCGGCUAAUUACGUGCCAGCAGCCGCGGUAACACGUAAGGGGCGAGCGUUGUUCGGAAUUAUUGGGCGUAAAGGGCGUGUAGGCGGCUAUGUAAGCCUGGUGUGAAAGACUUCGGCUUAACCGGAGGCUCGCGCUGGGAACUAUGUGGCUUGAGUAUAGGAGGGGGAGCUGGAAUUCCAGGUGUAGGGGUGAAAUCUGUAGAUAUCUGGAAGAACACCGGAGGCGAAGGCGAGCUCCUGGCCAUAUACUGACGCUGAGGCGCGAAAGCGUGGGGAGCGAACAGGAUUAGAUACCCUGGUAGUCCACGCUGUAAACGUUGUGCACUAGGUGUCGGGCUUACGGGCUCGGUACCGAAUGACGGGCGGUGAGUGCACCGCCUGGGGAGUAUGCUCGCACGGGUGAAACUCAAAGGAAUUGACGGGGGCCCGCACAAGCGGUGGAGCAUGUGGUUUAAUUCGAUGAUACGCGAGAAGCCUUACCAGGGCUUGUCAUAUAGCAGACGGUCGUAGAGAUACGGCUUCCCUUCGGGGCUGUUAUACAGGUGCUGCAUGGCUGUCGUCAGCUCGUGCUGUGAAGUGUUGGGUUAAGUCCCGCAAUGAGCGCAACCCCUACUGUCUGUUACCAGCAUUUCGGAUGGGGACUCACACGGUACUGCCGGUGACAAACCGGAGGAAGGUGGGGAUGACGUCAAGUCAUCAUGGCCCUUAUGUCCUGGGCUACACACGUGCUACAAUGGCCGGUACAGAGCGAGGCGAAACCGCGAGGUGGAGCAAAUCCCAGAAAGCCGGUCUC
This 1160-nucleotide ribosomal RNA is filed under the name uncultured organism. RNAcentral's name for it is "bacterial SSU rRNA". It matches the Rfam family "Bacterial small subunit ribosomal RNA", at positions 137 to 1289 of the family's 1533-position model. The record is from RNAcentral.